CCUACGGGUGGCAGCAGUGGGGAAUAUUGCACAAUGGGGGAAACCCUGAUGCAGCGACGCCGCGUGAGUGAAGAAGUAUUUCGGUACGUAAAGCUCUAUCAGCAGGGAAGAAAAUGACGGUACCUGACUAAGAAGCCCCGGCUAACUACGUGCCAGCAGCCGCGGUAAUACGUAGGGGGCAAGCGUUAUCCGGAUUUACUGGGUGUAAAGGGAGCGUAGACGGCAGCUCAAGUCUGGAGUGAAAUCCCAUGGCUUAACCAUGGAACUGCUUUGGAAACUGUGCAGCUAGAGUGCAGGAGAGGUAAGCGGAAUUCCUAGUGUAGCGGUGAAAUGCGUAGAUAUUAGGAGGAACACCAGUGGCGAAGGCGGCUUACUGGACUGUAACUGACGUUGAGGCUCGAAAGCGUGGGGAGCAAACAGGAUUAGAUACCCCAGUAGUC
This 440-nucleotide ribosomal RNA is filed under the name uncultured bacterium. RNAcentral describes it as "partial 16S ribosomal RNA". It matches the Rfam family "Bacterial small subunit ribosomal RNA", at positions 338 to 795 of the family's 1533-position model. The record is from RNAcentral.